RNAcentral lists this non-coding RNA (31 nucleotides) under Homo sapiens (human). Lineage: Eukaryota; Metazoa; Chordata; Mammalia; Primates; Hominidae. The record is from RNAcentral.
UGUGAUGAAAAGUGGGUAUAAACAUGACUGU